UCCCAGUUCGGAUUGUAGUCUGCAACCCGACUACAUGAAGCUGGAAUCGCUAGUAAUCGCGAAUCAGAAUGUCGCGGUGAAUACGUUCCCGGGUCUUGUACACACCGCCCGUCACACCAUGGGAGUCGGAAAUGCCCGAAGUCAGUGACCCAACCGCAAGGAGGGAGCUGCCGAAGGUGGAGCCGGUAACUGGGGUGAAGUCGUAACAAGGUAUC
This 215-nucleotide ribosomal RNA is filed under the name uncultured bacterium. RNAcentral's name for it is "partial 16S ribosomal RNA". It matches the Rfam family "Bacterial small subunit ribosomal RNA", at positions 1286 to 1500 of the family's 1533-position model. The record is from RNAcentral.